This 111-nucleotide ribosomal RNA is filed under the name Periophthalmus magnuspinnatus. The record is from RNAcentral. Lineage: Eukaryota; Metazoa; Chordata; Actinopteri; Gobiiformes; Gobiidae.
ACUAAAGGCCAUGCCACCUUAAGAGCACCCAACCUCGUCUGAUCUCAGAGGCUAAGCGAGGCCUGGUUAGUAUUUGGAUGGGAGACACCGCUGGGAAUAUUAAGUGCCGUG